Molecule: long non-coding RNA, 1208 nt
Organism: Homo sapiens (human)
Lineage: Eukaryota; Metazoa; Chordata; Mammalia; Primates; Hominidae
Source: Ensembl
CUCCGUAGCCGGACGGUGGAAAUCCCCAGGUCGGUGUGGGCCAGUGGGAACUGGCUGGCACUCCUACUCCCUGCUGAGGCCCAGGCGCGCGCCCGGCGGGGUGGAGGGUCCGGGGGUAUGCGCACCUGUGGCCUGGUCGGCCGCCCUGCCAGCUUUCUGCCUAUUCUUGCCGUCCAAGGCUUCCUUCCUCUCCAACCCCCCUUUUUGGGGUGUGGGUAUUUGUUUUAACCCAACCAGCCCCUUUGCUCGUCUCUACAGGCCCAGGGCUCAAACUGCGCCUCUGGGGUUCCUGGCGCGCGGCGAUCAGGGGCCAUCGAAAGGCCAGAGGAGGGCCCAACGCAGACGUUUGUUUUCAUCUUCUCCAAGGCGGAUCUCGCAGGCCAGAGAAGUGGGUCCCGCUUACCGCGGGGCUGUUACCAAAAAAGGCCUUUCUCUCGCUGGAGCGCUUGGCGGCGCGCGUUGCAGCAGGGUGACGCGAGGUUCAGCCCGGGCCUCCUUGAAGGUUGAGCCAGCUGACUGCAGGGCUGCCAGGCCAAGAGCCCCCCCUCCGCAACACACACACACACCCGCGCCCCGUCUCUGCCACAAAACGGCGGGGGCAGGAGAGAGAGUGCAGGGAGCUUCGAAGUGCGCGCCUGGCGACCUUCUCACCACUAGUAACCUUGGGCUAUGGUGCUCCGGCAAGGCCAGGUGGAAAGCUGACCUUUUGCUCCAGUUUAGAGCAGGGUUCUCUGAGGAUGCCAGCCCAGAUGGCAAGCUGGGUGGGGAAAGCGACAGUAGGAAGGAACUUUGGGAAGAUGAUGCCGCCGUUUGGCGCCCGGCUCUGCUAGUCUCUGCUUGUCUCCCAGACCCCAUGGACAGAGUUCUUUGAGUCUCUACACCUGGCAGUUUACGUUGAGGCUCCUCCACCUCCACCACCCCCCUCCCAAAUCCUUUCCAGUUCCUUUCCACCGUUGUCAUAGUUUUGUUCCACGGGACUCUUCUUCAGGGAGAAAACCCACCUCCAGAACACUGGAGUUCUAGCCUCUCACCGUCUCUCACACAUCCCCAAACGGCCAUCUCAGGCAACAAGAGAUACCACAAAUGAUGUUGAUUCUUUUUUUUGGUUGGGGGGGGGGGGGCGGUUUGGAGACAGCUGUGUUUUAUAAAUGAAAGGAUUAUGAGUCUGUAAUGGAAGUCUGUUUAAAUACACGUUGAUUUCUAACUCA